GUGCCGCCCCCCGCGCCGGGCCCGCUCGCCGCCCCGCCGCCGCCGUGCCCCGCCGGCCGGCUCCGUGCUGCCGGUUGGCCCGGCCCGGCCCCGGCCCGGCUGCGGGGUGGGGGCCGUGGCCGCCGCUCAACGCGCCAUGGCCGCGCCGGGGCCUCCCGCGGGGAGGAGGGAGCGGGAGCCGCGCCGCGCUCGUGACAAGCGCCGCGCUCCGCCAGGAACUGAGGUCCCCACCGCGGCUGGCGAAGCAGGAGCGUUGUGUUGAGAUGCCAACAAGGAUCAGAGCUUGUCUGGGCACCAAGGGAAGAAGUACCAGAAGAAAACCAUCUUCAUGAAGCAGAAUGGACAAGGCCCAAGUGCUCAAAAUAGUUCUUAGGGGAAGCAUUUAGUCCUUAAGUCAUCUCCUGGCAGAAGAAAUCGUCACCAACAUUUUGGACAAUGUAUGAACAGGACAGUAGCAGCCCACAGUCCUUCCCCUUUCCCACCAGAAUCAAAACAUACUUUUGCCCUAGUAAUUAAUAUCCGCCUUAAUGGCAUAACUUAGCUGACACCAGCAUCACAUGUAGAGCUCUGAGCACGUGAGGAGGAAACCACUGCUCAAGAAGUGCUUUGUCACAGCGACUGAUUCAUAACCCCUCCUGGUACAAACUCCAACUGCUCUCUGGCCAGCAGAGAUUUAAAAUGGUUAAAACCUCAGUGCGUGCCUCAAGGAAAAGUGCAUGUUUUUCAAGAGAAAGGCAUUACUGCUCCUUGAGACAAAUCCUGACUGCACAAAAGUGACACAGGAAUAUACUCCCCUCUUCCAAAACCUGUUCUGUUACAAGACACUAAAAGAAAGGGACUUUAAAAGAAGUUAUUUCUAACUAAAACUGUCAUGAGCCUUCCAGAGAUAUAAAUGCCUUCCAGCUCCAGAAAAAUAAAACCAUCUCCUAAUCUGGCUGGAAAUGGGGUGUUUUGAUGGGAGACACGAGGAGUGCCUCGUUUAUUCUUCCAGUGGACAAUGCUGUGGCCAAGUGCUGUUUUAUGUUGUACUCCAGUACUUUUCCAAGUCCUGCCUGAAGGAUUCGAUUCAACAGCCCAUCCCCACCAGUGGGGAAUACAGGAAUUUCUCAUGCCUGUUCUCAGGCCCCGAUUUCUACUAGUUAUGUUCAAAAUGGCAACGUUUAUGUUAAGGAAAUUCUACUGGAUUUGGAAAAGAAUCCAGAGAGGGAUUCAAGCGUGGAGCUGCUGAGCUCAGAAAUACAGACAGACCAAUCAAGCAACAUUAUGAUAAAGUGUUUAUUCAUUUUUUUAAAUAUCAAAUGUUUGUACACAUCAAUUUUGUUGAUAAACAGUCCCCCAAUAUUAAAAAAAAAAAAAAAAAAUCAAAAAAAGAAUCAAGUGUGUAUUACUUUGGGCAGAACCACAUCCCAUUCUCUGAUGCCACAACCACUCCUCCCGCCAGCCUCCUGCGAGGACUGCUGCAGUGUUCAGCCCAGAAGAGUAAAUGACACAAAUGCAACCAGCUUUAGGAUUCCUGAGUAUUGAUUCCCUCAAGUUCCUUAAGUGAGUCUCUUAAGCU
Strigops habroptila (Kakapo) is the source of this 1558-nucleotide long non-coding RNA. RefSeq lists it as uncharacterized. The record is from RefSeq and is a predicted model, not a curated record. NCBI's taxonomy places the organism in Eukaryota, Metazoa, Chordata, Aves, Psittaciformes, Psittacidae. The transcript is spliced from 3 exons.